Podarcis lilfordi (Lilford's wall lizard) is the source of this 83-nucleotide non-coding RNA. The record is from the annotation of a GenBank genome assembly. Lineage: Eukaryota; Metazoa; Chordata; Lepidosauria; Squamata; Lacertidae.
GCCCCUGUAGCUCAGUGGUCAGAGCAUCUGCCUUGCAUGCAGAAGGUUCCAGGUUCGAUUCCUAGCAUCUCCAGGUAGGGACC